AGUGAACGCUGGCGGUAGGCCUAACACAUGCAAGUCGAACGGCAGCACAGUAAGAGUUUGCUCUUACGGGUGGCGAGUGGCGGACGGGUGAGGAAUACAUCGGAAUCUACUUUUUCGUGGGGGAUAACGUAGGGAAACUUACGCUAAUACCGCAUACGACCUACGGGUGAAAGCAGGGGAUCUUCGGACCUUGCGCGAUUGUAUGAGCCGAUGUCGGAUUAGCUAGUUGGCGGGGUAAAGGCCCACCAAGGCGACGAUCCGUAGCUGGUCUGAGAGGAUGAUCAGCCACACUGGAACUGAGACACGGUCCAGACUCCUACGGGAGGCAGCAGUGGGGAAUAUUGGACAAUGGGCGCAAGCCUGAUCCAGCCAUGCCGCGUGGGUGAAGAAGGCCUUCGGGUUGUAAAGCCCUUUUGUUGGGGAAGAAAAGCAGCAGGUUAAUACCCCGCUGUCCUGACGGUACCCAAAGAAUAAGCACCGGCUAACUUCGUG
RNAcentral lists this ribosomal RNA (492 nucleotides) under uncultured bacterium. RNAcentral describes it as "partial 16S ribosomal RNA". It matches the Rfam family "Bacterial small subunit ribosomal RNA", at positions 29 to 507 of the family's 1533-position model. The record is from RNAcentral.